GCCACCUUAGCUCAAUUGGCAGAGCAGCGUAUUUGUAAUGCGCAGGUUGCCGGUUCGAUUCCGGCAGGUGGCU
This 73-nucleotide transfer RNA is filed under the name Algisphaera agarilytica. It matches the Rfam family "tRNA". From Rfam's summary of the family: Transfer RNA (tRNA) molecules are approximately 80 nucleotides in length. Their secondary structure includes four short double-helical elements and three loops (D, anti-codon, and T loops). RNAcentral also lists the same sequence under 1 other name. The record is from Rfam by way of RNAcentral. Lineage: Bacteria; Pseudomonadati; Planctomycetota; Phycisphaerae; Phycisphaerales; Phycisphaeraceae.